GCCGAAGUGGCGGAACUGGCAUACGCGCACGACUCAAACUCGUGUACCCGGAAGGGUAUGAGGGUUCAAUUCCCUCCUUCGGCA
RNAcentral lists this transfer RNA (84 nucleotides) under Chloroflexota bacterium. Its description in RNAcentral is "Chloroflexi bacterium (groundwater metagenome) tRNA-Leu". It matches the Rfam family "tRNA". From Rfam's summary of the family: Transfer RNA (tRNA) molecules are approximately 80 nucleotides in length. Lineage: Bacteria; Bacillati; Chloroflexota. The record is from RNAcentral. RNAcentral also lists the same sequence under 1 other name.